This 666-nucleotide ribosomal RNA is filed under the name uncultured Verrucomicrobium sp. RNAcentral describes it as "bacterial SSU rRNA". It matches the Rfam family "Bacterial small subunit ribosomal RNA", at positions 338 to 993 of the family's 1533-position model. Lineage: Bacteria; Pseudomonadati; Verrucomicrobiota; Verrucomicrobiia; Verrucomicrobiales; Verrucomicrobiaceae. The record is from RNAcentral.
CCUACGGGAGGCAGCAGUCGAGAAUUUUUCUCAAUGGGGGAAACCCUGAAGGAGCGACGCCGCGUGGAGGAUGAAGGCUUUCGGGUUGUAAACUCCUGUCAUUUGAGAACAAGGUGCGAGUAGUAACUAUACUCGCAUUGAUAGUAUCAGAAGAGGAAGGGACGGCUAACUCUGUGCCAGCAGCCGCGGUAAUACAGAGGUCCCAAGCGUUGUUCGGAUUCAUUGGGCGUAAAGGGUGCGUAGGUGGCGCCGUAAGUCAGGUGUGAAAUCUCGGGGCUUAACUCCGAAACUGCAUUUGAUACUGCGGUGCUUGAGGACUGGAGAGGAGACUGGAAUUUACGGUGUAGCAGUGAAAUGCGUAGAGAUCGUAAGGAAGACCAGUGGCGAAGGCGGGUCUCUGGACAGUUCCUGACACUGAGGCACGAAGGCCAGGGGAGCAAACGGGAUUAGAUACCCCGGUAGUCCUGGCAGUAAACGGUGCACGUUUUGGUGUGGGAGGAUUCGACCCCUUCUGCGCCGGAGCUAACGCGUUAAACGUGCCCGCCUGGGGAGUACCGUCGCAAGAUUAAAACUCAAAGAAAUUGACGGGGGCCCCCACAAGCGGUGGAGUAUUGUGGCUUAAUUCGAUGCAACGCGAAAAACCUUACCUGGGCUUGACAUGCAUCU